RNAcentral lists this ribosomal RNA (462 nucleotides) under uncultured bacterium. RNAcentral describes it as "partial 16S ribosomal RNA". It matches the Rfam family "Bacterial small subunit ribosomal RNA", at positions 28 to 507 of the family's 1533-position model. The record is from RNAcentral.
GACGAACGCUGGCGGCGUGCUUAACACAUGCAAGUCGAACGGAAAGGCCCUUCGGGGUACUCGAGUGGCGAACGGGUGAGUAACACGUGGGUGAUCUGCCCUGCACUUUGGGAUAAGCCUGGGAAACUGGGUCUAAUACCGAAUAGGACCACGCGCUUCAUGGUGUGUGGUGGAAAGCUUUUGCGGUGUGGGAUGGGCCCGCGGCCUAUCAGCUUGAUGGUGGGGUAAUGGCCUACCAAGGCGACGACGGGUAGCCGGCCUGAGAGGGUGACCGGCCACACUGGGACUGAGAUACGGCCCAGACUCCUACGGGAGGCAGCAGUGGGGAAUAUUGCACAAUGGGCGCAAGCCUGAUGCAGCGACGCCGCGUGAGGGAUGACGGCCUUCGGGUUGUAAACCUCUUUCAAUAGGGACGAAGCGCAAGUGACGGUACCUAUAGAAGAAGCACCGGCCAACUACGUG